UUAAGCGACUAAGCGUACACGGUGGAUGCCCUGGCAGUCAGAGGCGAUGAAGGACGUGCUAAUCUGCGAUAAGCGUCGGUAAGGUGAUAUGAACCGUUAUAACCGGCGAUUUCCGAAUGGGGAAACCCAGUGUGAUUCGUCACACUAUCAUUAACUGAAUCCAUAGGUUAAUGAGGCGAACCGGGGGAACUGAAACAUCUAAGUACCCCGAGGAAAAGAAAUCAACCGAGAUUCCCCCAGUAGCGGCGAGCGAACGGGGAGCAGCCCAGAGCCUGAAUCAGUGUGUGUGUUAGUGGAAGCGUCUGGAAAGGCGCGCGAUACAGGGUGACAGCCCCGUACACAAAAAUGCACAUGCUGUGAGCUCGAUGAGUAGGGCGGGACACGUGGUAUCCUGUCUGAAUAUGGGGGGACCAUCCUCCAAGGCUAAAUACUCCUGACUGACCGAUAGUGAACCAGUACCGUGAGGGAAAGGCGAAAAGAACCCCGGCGAGGGGAGUGAAAAAGAACCUGAAACCGUGUACGUACAAGCAGUGGGAGCACGCUUAGGCGUGUGACUGCGUACCUUUUGUAUAAUGGGUCAGCGACUUAUAUUCUGUAGCAAGGUUAACCGAAUAGGGGAGCCGAAGGGAAACCGAGUCUUAACUGGGCGUUAAGUUGCAGGGUAUAGACCCGAAACCCGGUGAUCUAGCCAUGGGCAGGUUGAAGGUUGGGUAACACUAACUGGAGGACCGAACCGACUAAUGUUGAAAAAUUAGCGGAUGACUUGUGGCUGGGGGUGAAAGGCCAAUCAAACCGGGAGAUAGCUGGUUCUCCCCGAAAGCUAUUUAGGUAGCGCCUCGUGAAUUCAUCUCCGGGGGUAGAGCACUGUUUCGGCAAGGGGGUCAUCCCGACUUACCAACCCGAUGCAAACUGCGAAUACCGGAGAAUGUUAUCACGGGAGACACACGGCGGGUGCUAACGUCCGUCGCGAAGAGGGAAACAACCCAGACCGCCAGCUAAGGUCCCAAAGUCAUGGUUAAGUGGGAAACGAUGUGGGAAGGCCCAGACAGCCAGGAUGUUGGCUUAGAAGCAGCCAUCAUUUAAAGAAAGCGUAAUAGCUCACUGGUCGAGUCGGCCUGCGCGGAAGAUGUAACGGGGCUAAACCAUGCACCGAAGCUGCGGCAGCGACACUAUGUGUUGUUGGGUAGGGGAGCGUUCUGUAAGCCUGUGAAGGUGUACUGUGAGGUAUGCUGGAGGUAUCAGAAGUGCGAAUGCUGACAUAAGUAACGAUAAAGCGGGUGAAAAGCCCGCUCGCCGGAAGACCAAGGGUUCCUGUCCAACGUUAAUCGGGGCAGGGUGAGUCGACCCCUAAGGCGAGGCCGAAAGGCGUAGUCGAUGGGAAACAGGUUAAUAUUCCUGUACUUGGUGUUACUGCGAAGGGGGGACGGAGAAGGCUAUGUUGGCCGGGCGACGGUUGUCCCGGUUUAAGCGUGUAGGCUGGUUUUCCAGGCAAAUCCGGAAAACUAAGGCUGAGGCGUGAUGACGAGGCACUACGGUGCUGAAGCAACAAAUGCCCUGCUUCCAGGAAAAGCCUCUAAGCAUCAGGUAACAUCAAAUCGUACCCCAAACCGACACAGGUGGUCAGGUAGAGAAUACCAAGGCGCUUGAGAGAACUCGGGUGAAGGAACUAGGCAAAAUGGUGCCGUAACUUCGGGAGAAGGCACGCUGAUAUGUAGGUGAAGUCCCUCGCGGAUGGAGCUGAAAUCAGUCGAAGAUACCAGCUGGCUGCAACUGUUUAUUAAAAACACAGCACUGUGCAAACACGAAAGUGGACGUAUACGGUGUGACGCCUGCCCGGUGCCGGAAGGUUAAUUGAUGGGGUCAGCGCAAGCGAAGCUCUUGAUCGAAGCCCCGGUAAACGGCGGCCGUAACUAUAACGGUCCUAAGGUAGCGAAAUUCCUUGUCGGGUAAGUUCCGACCUGCACGAAUGGCGUAAUGAUGGCCAGGCUGUCUCCACCCGAGACUCAGUGAAAUUGAACUCGCUGUGAAGAUGCAGUGUACCCGCGGCAAGACGGAAAGACCCCGUGAACCUUUACUAUAGCUUGACACUGAACAUUGAGCCUUGAUGUGUAGGAUAGGUGGGAGGCUUUGAAGUGUGGACGCCAGUCUGCAUGGAGCCGACCUUGAAAUACCACCCUUUAAUGUUUGAUGUUCUAACGUUGACCCGUAAUCCGGGUUGCGGACAGUGUCUGGUGGGUAGUUUGACUGGGGCGGUCUCCUCCUAAAGAGUAACGGAGGAGCACGAAGGUUGGCUAAUCCUGGUCGGACAUCAGGAGGUUAGUGCAAUGGCAUAAGCCAGCUUGACUGCGAGCGUGACGGCGCGAGCAGGUGCGAAAGCAGGUCAUAGUGAUCCGGUGGUUCUGAAUGGAAGGGCCAUCGCUCAACGGAUAAAAGGUACUCCGGGGAUAACAGGCUGAUACCGCCCAAGAGUUCAUAUCGACGGCGGUGUUUGGCACCUCGAUGUCGGCUCAUCACAUCCUGGGGCUGAAGUAGGUCCCAAGGGUAUGGCUGUUCGCCAUUUAAAGUGGUACGCGAGCUGGGUUUAGAACGUCGUGAGACAGUUCGGUCCCUAUCUGCCGUGGGCGCUGGAGAACUGAGGGGGGCUGCUCCUAGUACGAGAGGACCGGAGUGGACGCAUCACUGGUGUUCGGGUUGUCAUGCCAAUGGCACUGCCCGGUAGCUAAAUGCGGAAGAGAUAAGUGCUGAAAGCAUCUAAGCACGAAACUUGCCCCGAGAUGAGUUCUCCCUGACUCCUUGAGAGUCCUGAAGGAACGUUGAAGACGACGACGUUGAUAGGCCGGGUGUGUAAGCGCAGCGAUGCGUUGAGCUAACCGGUACUAAUGAACCGUGAGGCUUAACCUU
This 2901-nucleotide ribosomal RNA is filed under the name Escherichia coli. RNAcentral's name for it is "bacterial LSU rRNA". It matches the Rfam family "Bacterial large subunit ribosomal RNA". The record is from RNAcentral. Lineage: Bacteria; Pseudomonadati; Pseudomonadota; Gammaproteobacteria; Enterobacterales; Enterobacteriaceae.